UACGUAGGAGGCGAGCGUUGUCCGGAGUUACUGGGCGUAAAGGGUGCGCAGGCGGCGGUUCGCGUGGAUAGAUGAAAUCUCCUGGCUUACCUGGGAGGAUGGUAUCCAGACGGGAUCGCUUGAGGGUCGGAGAGGGGCGUGGAAUUCCGGGUGGAGCGGUGAAAUGCGUUGAUAUCCUAAGGAACACCUGUGGCGAAGGCGGCUCACUGGCCCGAUACUGACGCUGAGGUGCGAAAGCGUGGGGAGCAAACAGG
Molecule: ribosomal RNA, 254 nt
Filed under: uncultured bacterium
Lineage: Bacteria
Description: partial 16S ribosomal RNA
Rfam family: Bacterial small subunit ribosomal RNA
Source: RNAcentral